AAGUCGUAACAAGGUUUCCGUAGGUGAACCUGCGGAAGGAUCAUUUGCGUACUUACAAAAAAAAGAAAACUUGAGCUUAAGCGGGGCAACUCGUUUGGGUUCCUGUUUUUGAGAUAAGUGUGGUCUAAACUAGAUGAAAUCUGGAUUGAGAAUUCAUUUUUUUAAUCCAGACCAUAUCUAAUUUUUCCUACCAUAACUAAAACACCCCAAGUUUGAUUAGUCAUUCAGUUGAUGAAAUUUUUUAUCUAAAAACAAAAAAAUAACACAACUGGCAACGGCGGAUCUCUUGGCUCGU
RNAcentral lists this unclassified non-coding RNA (295 nucleotides) under fungal sp. RNAcentral describes it as "partial internal transcribed spacer region". The stretch from base 1 to 46 matches the Rfam family "Eukaryotic small subunit ribosomal RNA", at positions 1786 to 1831 of the family's 1831-position model. The record is from RNAcentral. Lineage: Eukaryota; Fungi.